Long non-coding RNA from Mangifera indica (mango), 2674 nucleotides. RefSeq lists it as uncharacterized. The transcript has 4 exons. The record is from RefSeq and is a predicted model, not a curated record. NCBI's taxonomy places the organism in Eukaryota, Viridiplantae, Streptophyta, Magnoliopsida, Sapindales, Anacardiaceae.
UAAUUCGUGGAAGGUAAACCCAAAAGAUUUAGUUUGAAAUAUGAACUACUUAAUUUCACUGGACACAGAGCGAGGGGGGAAGAAUUUGUGGAAUUUUUAGUAAAUUAUUCCAUGAUCAAUAAGAGGAGAAGCUAGUGGUAAUGGUAUGCCAUGCCUGUUAUAAAUAAACACUGAAACUGGGCCAUUUCUGUGAUUUUGACUGUCACCAUUCUCACCUCAAUUAUUUUAUCCGUGGGACCCCGAUUCUCUCAGACACCCACUUCUAUUCCACUCAAAUCACCACCCACUUCUGUUCCACCACUCAAAUCGCCACUUUUCUACACUCAACUGCAUGUUCCUGUUCAAAUCGCUUAGACUUUAUGUAAUUUCUUAUCCCAUGACAACACUAAUUCAAAUGGAACACCAAGAAGAAAAGACCCAGAUUGGGAUUCUAGAUUUUCUUUGUAUUUCUGGUUGGAUCAUCAUGUAGAAUUGAUUGAUGAAUCUAUGAGCAACGUCAAUGGUUCUUGCCAUAUUUUUUUUUUUUCUUGAUCAAAUUGUGAGAUGAUAGCUUGUUUUGGGUAUCUGUGACUUGAAAAAAUAGAGGAUGGAGCAAGUAUUUUGCCAUAUUUUGAUUUAGGAGGAUGAAGAUUGUGUGAGUGAUAGCAAUUAGCAACAUUUAAAGCACUUCGAAAGCAGUGCAUGCAUGAAAAAAUCACUAGCAACAUGUUAGUGUGUUUGGAAGAAUGCUGAUUUUGGUGAACUUUUCCUUUCAAAAUUACUAUGCAAGUAAAAUUAACUUUUUUUUUUCCCUUUAAAAUGAGAAAAAAAAUCUCUUAAAAUGCAUUUGCAAGAGACAUUUUGGUGAACUUUUCUUAGUUUUGGAUGCCAAAUUAACUAUUUUUUUUCCUUUCUUCUAAAGUAGGAGCCAACUCAGCUCCUCAUAAAUUCCUUAGCUGAGGGAGUUUAAGGUUGGAGUUGAUUCAAACGCUUAAUAUGAAUUACAGUAUAUAUCGAACCAGUCGAGGUUUAAAUCAAGGAUGAGAUUCACUUUAAAACAGAUCUUGGAACCGGAUCUACUCAGCCUGAGUUGAGUUUAAUGAUCAAUCGUCAAAGUACAAAACUUGAGGACUUGCAUGGAAUUAAAAAACGAAACCAAAGACAAGGACCAGACUGAAACUCUUCCUCCUCCUAUCUUCAUAAAUGAAACUGAAUGGUUUUUUUCUUACCAUAAUAUCAAUUUUUGCUGUUGUUGUCUCUGAUGGUUGUGGUUAAAUUCUUUGCAAUGUACUUGUUUUCAAGCUCUAGAAUUUGGGUUUUUGGUGAGAAGUUGAUGGAUGCUGAUGAUGGGUUGAGAUUGAAGUAGAUGAGGUGCACUGUGAUUGAGUGUUGUAAGCCAAUUCGGUUUAUGUGUUUGUCGUCUAGGUUCAUAAUUUUGGGAGAGGAAAAUGGAGUUCGGGCUUUCAGUUCGAGAAAUUUAGUUAGAGAGAAAGUGAAGAGGGUGAAGAAUAUUCAAGGAUCAGGUUUUCCAAAUGGGGUAAUCGGGGAUGGUACUUUUGGUGGAUCAAGUCAAGAGAUUGGUUGCAAUGGUCGCGUGGAGGGGAGGAUUGAUCAGAGCAUUGUGUUUCUGUUAAGUUUUAAUGCAGAGGUCCACUAAAUGCAGACAAGACUCCAGUGAAGGGAGUGAAUAUUUUGUGGCAUUUAGGAGCAAGGAAGCUGACCACAUUGCCUUGCCUAAGUUUUUUGAUUUUGUUUAUUUCUGUCAAGCAGGAAAUCUAUGUUCCUGGAGAUAUUGGAUGAUUAUGACAGUUUGGGUGAGUCCUAAUUGAAUGUUCUCUUUUCAUUUUGGCGAUCACAUGUUCAUGCUGACUACAGUGGUAUUGAUUGUUAUUAUGUUUCUGAGUUUUGAGCUGCACAUGUCUUAUUUGUUGAAUAGUGAAAAAGGCUUCAAGCACACUGGUCUCUUGGAGACGGAAUCAUUGGAUAAGUUGAGUGCAAAUCAGGAAAUGACGGAAUUCCGAUUCCUGAAGAUUAACUUCUUGAACAACCCUGGUACCUCCAUUUAGCAGCCUGGCUUUUAUGAGUCAAAAGACAAACCUGCUGUAGACUUGUGAACUUUUCAGCUGUUGGUUCAUCUGUUUCUUUGGUCUUUUUGGAGCGAGCAGGUGCCAUGAUCUUUAGGCUGUCAAAGGAUCGUGACACCAACUGCUAAAUCAUAAUGUCAUAAAGAUUUUAGACAAGCUUGAAACAAUGUUCUGCUGCCAGUUAAGUGUUUGAAACUCCGUCAACAUUUAUUCUGCUACUGAUUUCUGCUAAAUUGUAAUGUUUGUGUUUCCUUUCUGACUUCGAUUAAGUCCAUUAAAAUGGGGUUACUGGGAUUAGAAUCAAAUUGACAGUAGUUCAACCAAAAGAAAUAAAAUUAUUUAUUCUGUUUGCCACCUUCCGGCGUUCAAACAUUGAUUUCUUUUUGUUGAAUCUAUUGUUGAUUGGGAUUCGCAUAUUCUCCAAGUGCCAACUUGCCACAUUGUGGGAUUUUUUAGCACUCUUUAUUAAGUUCAAGAAGAGAUUUAGACUGACUGGUCAGCAUAGUAAAUAUCUGGAGUUUUAUUGUUGUUACCCAGUUGGGGUUUAGGUAUUCUGAGUCCAAAUUUUGCAGAAAUAGAAAUUUUGGGGACAGAAUCUGGAUCUUUCAAAC